RNAcentral lists this ribosomal RNA (465 nucleotides) under uncultured bacterium. Its description in RNAcentral is "bacterial SSU rRNA". It matches the Rfam family "Bacterial small subunit ribosomal RNA", at positions 28 to 479 of the family's 1533-position model. The record is from RNAcentral.
GACGAACGCUGGCGGCAUGCUUAACACAUGCAAGUGGAGCGACGAACCUUUUAGGGGCAAAGCCGCGAACGGGUGAGUAACACGUGGGCAAUCUGCCCAGUUGACUGGAAUAACUCGAGGAAACUCGAGCUAAUACCGGAUGUGCUUGCUUCUCACAAGAGGAGUAAGUAAAGGGAGCUUCGGCUAUCCGCAAUUGGAGGAGCCUGCGGCGCAUUAGCUUGUUGGUGGGGUAAUGGCCUACCAAGGCAUCGAUGCGUAGCUGGUCUGAGAGGACGAUCAGCCACACUGGAACUGAGACACGGUCCAGACUCCUACGGGAGGCAGCAGUGGGGAAUCUUGCACAAUGGGCGACAGCCUGAUGCAGCAAAUGCCGCGUGAGGGAAGACGGCCUCGGUGUAACGUACUUCUAGUUGGAGUGAAGGUUAGGUACGGUUAACGUAGACCGCGCCGAACUACGACCGUACC